RNAcentral lists this ribosomal RNA (589 nucleotides) under Pseudomonas sp. RNAcentral describes it as "bacterial SSU rRNA". It matches the Rfam family "Bacterial small subunit ribosomal RNA", at positions 133 to 717 of the family's 1533-position model. The record is from RNAcentral. Lineage: Bacteria; Pseudomonadati; Pseudomonadota; Gammaproteobacteria; Pseudomonadales; Pseudomonadaceae.
GUAGUGGGGGAUAACGUUCGGAAACGGACGCUAAUACCGCAUACGUCCUACGGGAGAAAGCAGGGGACCUUCGGGCCUUGCGCUAUCAGAUGAGCCUAGGUCGGAUUAGCUAGUUGGCGGGGUAAAGGCCCACCAAGGCGACGAUCCGUAACUGGUCUGAGAGGAUGAUCAGUCACACUGGAACUGAGACACGGUCCAGACUCCUACGGGAGGCAGCAGUGGGGAAUAUUGGACAAUGGGCGAAAGCCUGAUCCAGCCAUGCCGCGUGUGUGAAGAAGGUCUUCGGAUUGUAAAGCACUUUAAGUUGGGAGGAAGGGCAGUAAGUUAAUACCUUGCUGUUUUGACGUUACCGACAGAAUAAGCACCGGCUAACUUCGUGCCAGCAGCCGCGGUAAUACGAAGGGUGCAAGCGUUAAUCGGAAUUACUGGGCGUAAAGCGCGCGUAGGUGGUUUGGUAAGUUGGAUGUGAAAGCCCUGGGCUCAACCUGGGAACUGCAUCCAAAACUGCCUGACUAGAGUACGGUAGAGGGUGGUGGAAUUUCCUGUGUAGCGGUGAAAUGCGUAGAUAUAGGAAGGAACACCAGUGGCG